AGUGAACGCUGGCGGUAGGCCUAACACAUGCAAGUCGAACGGCAGCACAGUAAGAGCUUGCUCUUACGGGUGGCGAGUGGCGGACGGGUGAGGAAUACAUCGGAAUCUACUUUUUCGUGGGGGAUAACGUAGGGAAACUUACGCUAAUACCGCAUACGACCUACGGGUGAAAGCAGGGGAUCUUCGGACCUUGCGCGAUUGAAUGAGCCGAUGUCGGAUUAGCUAGUUGGCGGGGUAAAGGCCCACCAAGGCGACGAUCCGUAGCUGGUCGGAGAGGAUGAUCAGCGACACUGGAACUGAGACACGGUCCAGACUCCUACGGGAGGCAGCAGUCGGGAAUAUUAGACAAUGGGCGCAAGCCUGAUCCAGCCAGACCGCGUGGGUGAAGAAGGCCUUCGGGUUGUAAAGCCCUUUUGUUGGGAAAGAAAAGCAGCAGGUUAAUACCCCGCUGUUCUGACGGUACCCAAAGAAGAAGCACCGGCUAACUUCGUG
RNAcentral lists this ribosomal RNA (492 nucleotides) under uncultured bacterium. Its description in RNAcentral is "partial 16S ribosomal RNA". It matches the Rfam family "Bacterial small subunit ribosomal RNA", at positions 29 to 507 of the family's 1533-position model. The record is from RNAcentral.